ACAAGCGGUGGAGCAUGCGGUUUAAUUCGAAGCAACGCGAAGAACCUUACCAGGUCUUGACAUCCCGAUGCUAUUUCUAGAGAUAGAAAGUUACUUCGGUACAUCGGUGACAGGUGGUGCAUGGUUGUCGUCAGCUCGUGUCGUGAGAUGUUGGGUUAAGUCCCGCAACGAGCGCAACCCCUAUUGUUAGUUGCCAUCAUUCAGUUGGGCACUCUAGCGAGACUGCCGGUAAUAAACCGGAGGAAGGUGGGGAUGACGUCAAAUCAUCAUGCCCCUUAUGACCUGGGCUACACACGUGCUACAAUGGGCGGUACAAAGGGUCGCGAACCCGCGAGGGGGAGCCAAUCCCAAAAAGCCGCUCUCAGUUCGGAUUGCAGGCUGCAACUCGCCUGCAUGAAGCCGGAAUCGCUAGUAAUCGCGGAUCAGCAUGCCGCGGUCGAAUACGUUCCGGGCCUU
This 456-nucleotide ribosomal RNA is filed under the name uncultured Streptococcus sp. RNAcentral's name for it is "bacterial SSU rRNA". It matches the Rfam family "Bacterial small subunit ribosomal RNA", at positions 925 to 1382 of the family's 1533-position model. Lineage: Bacteria; Bacillati; Bacillota; Bacilli; Lactobacillales; Streptococcaceae. The record is from RNAcentral.